Molecule: ribosomal RNA, 257 nt
Filed under: uncultured bacterium
Lineage: Bacteria
Description: partial 16S ribosomal RNA
Rfam family: Bacterial small subunit ribosomal RNA
Source: RNAcentral
UACAGAGGGGCAAGCGUUGUCCGGAAUUACGUGGCGUACAGCGCGCGCAGGCGGUGGCCGACGUGCCGUGUGACAAGCGGGGGCUCAACCCCCGAGGGCCACGGUAAACGGGGUGACUGGAGGACGGGAGAGGGAUGUGGAAUGCCCGGGUGGAGCGGUGAAAUACGGUAGAGAUCGGGACGGAACACCAGCGGCGAAGGCGGCAUCCUGGCCCGUACCUGACGCUGAAGCGCGACAGCGUGGGGGAGCAAACAGGG